RNAcentral lists this ribosomal RNA (301 nucleotides) under uncultured bacterium. RNAcentral's name for it is "partial 16S ribosomal RNA". It matches the Rfam family "Bacterial small subunit ribosomal RNA", at positions 509 to 807 of the family's 1533-position model. The record is from RNAcentral.
CAGCAGCCGCGGGAAUACAGAGGUUGCAAGCGUUAUCCGGAAUGAUUGGGCGUAAAGCGUGCGCAGGCGGUUUUGUAAGACAGGCGUGAAAUCCCCGGGCUCAACCUGGGAAUGGCGCUUGUGACUGCAAAGCUAGAGUGCGGCAGAGGGGGAUGGAAUUCCGCGUGUAGCGGUGAAAUGCGUAGAGAUGUGGAGGAACACCAGUGGCGAAGGCGACUCUCUGGUCUGUAACUGACGCUGGGGAGCGAAAGCGUGGGGAGCGAACAGGAUUAGAUACCCCAGUAGUCCCUGUCUCUUAUAC